Molecule: long non-coding RNA, 1345 nt
Organism: Daphnia carinata
Lineage: Eukaryota; Metazoa; Arthropoda; Branchiopoda; Diplostraca; Daphniidae
Exons: 6
Source: RefSeq, a predicted model, not a curated record
UUAAACAACCCUUGUUUGCGUCAUCCAGGAAUUAUUGAUGAUUAAGAUAUUCGAAAGAUUAGUAAAGAACAUUUCUUAAAUUUUACAAUUUCUUUAUGUACUAUUAUUUCAUGGUAAAAGUAAUGUGGAUGAGUUUAUUUGAGAGAAGGCUGUAAUUUUGCGGUGGUACUUAAUCCAAAAUGGAACUUGCUUGUUCGGUAGUGUCACGUUGCUCCUGGACAGGAACACAAAGCAUGAAAGGUAUUUUUGGGGAAUUUAAAGUUUUCCUCAAUUAAUGUAUUUAUCUCAUUGUUUAGGCAUGUGGUAUGUUAUGUGGGCAGAAAGCUAAUUAAUGAGUGUUUAAUUGGCCAAAUGUCUUAACACAGAAAACAUGAAAAUUAUUGCAGAAAAAGUACCCAGAUAAAAUGACCAUGGAAGGCUUGCCAUUUAUUUGUGGAUACAAAUCUACUUGGCAGAACUUAAAUUGGCUGAAGAAUGAUGACUUUAGGAACCAAAAUCAACUGCAAGAGGAAGAGAAACCGUGGAGGACUUGCUGGUAUCGGCCGACGGGGAUAAAACUAAGGUCUUAACUUGGUACUAAUAGAUGGCAUGACAUUUCUCGGAAUGACAUCUAUCUCCUCAAGAGGCGCUAAAGACAGUUGUACGUCAGGUGGCGUUCAAGUACAACCACCCAAAUCCUGGCGUAAUACCAGUCGUAAGCGAGGCACUCGGAUCAAUUGGAUCCGUGUUUUGUGGGGUAGGUGAUUAGUUUCGUACUUCGGGAGUUGGAUUGGUAUUCGGAUAUCAAGAAAUUUCUCAGGUUUUAAGAACGCGUCUACCAUACACGUUUUACAACCAGAUAUGGAUAAAGUUUCAUGCCUGUUGCAUCACAUGUACGCUUUAUCCCAUGGUACUUGUCAUGUGGUCUGCAGUUGUAUCCGGUGGUAUUUGUUGCAUACAGCCAUUUGAAAUGUGAAGAUGCUUGCUUUGGAUAAAUGCAUUUAGUAGAAUGUGCUUGAUGAUAAAUGUGCUUCUGAAGUGGCUCAAGCUACUGAAUUUCUAACUUCAAUGAGCUUGAAACAGAACCUAUUACAAUGAAUCUUAUUUCCAACAAAAUAGUUCCUUGCAGUGAUUUAUGCCAUAUUGAAAAUGUGAUCGAAUUUUUUGCUGAUCCAGCGACCCUGUAUUGCUUCUACAGGAUAACAAACUACCAUUGAUGAUUAAUUGGGGGACUAUCAGUUCCUUUCACAUCCAGGGCAACCGUAUGCAAGAAAAAAAGCAUUUUCUUGUAAUGCUUAAUUUUUUAUUUAAAAAAUAUAGUACUAUGUACAGCAAAGCAAUUGAGUAAAUAGCAAAAGUCCAAUAC